RNAcentral lists this ribosomal RNA (705 nucleotides) under uncultured bacterium. Its description in RNAcentral is "bacterial SSU rRNA". It matches the Rfam family "Bacterial small subunit ribosomal RNA", at positions 786 to 1491 of the family's 1533-position model. The record is from RNAcentral.
CCUGGUAGUCCACGCUGUAAACGAUGUCGAUUUGAAGGUUGUUCCCUUGAGGAGUGGCUUUCGGAGCUAACGCGUUAAAUCGACCGCCUGGGGAGUACGGCCGCAAGGUUAAAACUCAAAUGAAUUGACGGGGGCCCGCACAAGCGGUGGAGCAUGUGGUUUAAUUCGAUGCAACGCGAAGAACCUUACCUACUCUUGACAUCCAGAGAACUUAGCAGAGAUGCUUUGGUGCCUUCGGGAACUCUGAGACAGGUGCUGCAUGGCUGUCGUCAGCUCGUGUUGUGAAAUGUUGGGUUAAGUCCCGCAACGAGCGCAACCCUUAUCCUUUGUUGCCAGCGAUUCGGUCGGGAACUCAAAGGAGACUGCCGGUGAUAAACCGGAGGAAGGUGGGGAUGACGUCAAGUCAUCAUGGCCCUUACGAGUAGGGCUACACACGUGCUACAAUGGCGUAUACAAAGAGAAGCGACCUCGCGAGAGCAAGCGGAACUCAUAAAGUACGUCGUAGUCCGGAUUGGAGUCUGCAACUCGACUCCAUGAAGUCGGAAUCGCUAGUAAUCGUAGAUCAGAAUGCUACGGUGAAUACGUUCCCGGGCCUUGUACACACCGCCCGUCACACCAUGGGAGUGGGUUGCAAAAGAAGUAGGUAGCUUAACCUUCGGGAGGGCGCUUACCACUUUGUGAUUCAUGACUGGGGUGAAGUCGUAA